Molecule: ribosomal RNA, 200 nt
Filed under: uncultured bacterium
Lineage: Bacteria
Description: partial 16S ribosomal RNA
Rfam family: Bacterial small subunit ribosomal RNA
Source: RNAcentral
CGGAUUGGAGUCUGCAACCCGACUCCAUGAAGCUGGAUUCGCUAGUAACCGCGCAUCAGCCACGGCGCGGUGAAUACGUUCCCGGGCCCUUGUACACACCGCCCGUCAAGCCAUGGAAGCCGGGAGUGCCUGAAGUGCGUGAGCGCAAGCAGCGCCCUAAGGUAAAACCGGUGACUGGGGCUAAGUCGUAACAAGGUAGC